This 75-nucleotide transfer RNA is filed under the name Synergistales bacterium. RNAcentral describes it as "tRNA-Ala". It matches the Rfam family "tRNA". Rfam says of the family: Transfer RNA (tRNA) molecules are approximately 80 nucleotides in length. The record is from RNAcentral. Lineage: Bacteria; Thermotogati; Synergistota; Synergistia; Synergistales.
GGGGCUAUGGCGCAGCGGGAGCGCGCUUCCUUGGCAUGGAAGAGGUCAGGGGUUCAAUUCCCCUUAGCUCCACCA